Molecule: ribosomal RNA, 119 nt
Filed under: Pteropus alecto (black flying fox)
Lineage: Eukaryota; Metazoa; Chordata; Mammalia; Chiroptera; Pteropodidae
Source: RNAcentral
GGCUACGGCCAUGCCACCCUGAACAUGCCCAAUCUCAUCUGAUCUCGGAAGCUAAGCAGGGUCGGGCCUGGUUAGUACUUGGAUGGGAGAUCACCUAGGAAGACCAGGUGCUGUAGGCA